AACGAACGCUGGCGGCAUGCCUAACACAUGCAAGUCGAACGAGACCUUCGGGUCUAGUGGCGCACGGGUGCGUAACGCGUGGGAACCUGCCCUUAGGUUCGGAAUAACUCCCCGUAAGGGGUGCUAAUACCGGUUAAUGUCUUCCGACCAAAGAUUUAUCGCCUUUGGAUGGGCCCGCGUUGGAUUAGCUAGUUGGUAGGGUAAAAGCCUGCCAAGGCGACGAUCCAUAGCUGGUCUGGGAGGAUGACCAGCCACGCUGGGACUGCGACACGGCCCAGACUGCUACGGGGGGCAGCAGUGGGGAAUAUUGGACAAUGGGCGAAGGCCUGAUCCAGCAGUGCCGCGUGAGUGAUGAAGGGCUUAGGGUUGUAAAGCUCUUUUACCCGGGAUGAUAAUGACAGUACCGGGAGAAUAAGCUCCGGCUAACUCCGUG
Molecule: ribosomal RNA, 433 nt
Filed under: uncultured bacterium
Lineage: Bacteria
Description: partial 16S ribosomal RNA
Rfam family: Bacterial small subunit ribosomal RNA
Source: RNAcentral